Molecule: RNA transcript, 2015 nt
Organism: Zingiber officinale
Lineage: Eukaryota; Viridiplantae; Streptophyta; Magnoliopsida; Zingiberales; Zingiberaceae
Exons: 6
Source: RefSeq, a predicted model, not a curated record
GAGGGGUCAAGUAUAAUUUUCUCCAGUUGGAGAGGUGGGCGUCUCACCUGCCAUAUUUCCGCCGACGCCAACAUCAAUGGCGACGAGGCCGAUGACAAGGAUUUGAGACCAAUCGAGAAGGGAGAGUGUGGGGAGCGAGGAGGGGGGAGGGAGUUUGAUUCCUUCUGGUGGACUGGAUCGCCCUCUCUCUCCGCUUCCGUUGCUUGCUUCGAUUCCUCAGCGGUUCGAUCGCUUGGGCGUGGAGGAAGCGUGGAGGAAUUCCAGAAGGCAGGCAUCGCGGCGUUGGAGGUGGAAUUGGGGGUUUCUUUCCACCCACAUUGAUUUGGCGGCGCACUGGGAUUCGUUUGGGGAUCUUCAUCAGGUUCUUGAUGGCGGUGGGGAGCAGCUUCGAUCAUUGGCAGAAGGAUGUGUUCUUUUCCGCCGCGGAGGAGGUCCAGGAAUCUGCUGAUGCAUUGGAGUCUCUGUACAGAAUUUGGAUGCGAUAUCUCAAAGAUGGAUUUCCUUCUGGAGCAGAAGAUGAGUUGCACAGGGAACUUCAUAUUGCUCUUGGCACCGCAAAGUGGCAGCUAGAGGAGUUUGAGAAGGCUGUCAGAUUGAGCCAUGAAAACUAUCCAUCUGAGGCAAAUACAAUAACCAGACAUGAACAUUUCAUGGGGGCGAUUGGGAACCAAAUUUCUCGUAUAGAGAAGGCUGUUAGAGAUGAAGGGAAACAACCUCUGCGAUGGAUACAGUUAAAUGCUGAAGAGCAAGAUGAUUUUGCUCUUUUCCUCUCUGAGGUGCCUCUGAAUCUGCAAGAUUCAUCGCAAGGAAAUUCUUGGUCUGAAUGUGCGAAGGGCUCAAAGGACACAGUUGUUGCUAGUAAUGGUACAAGGCAUGCAAUGGAAGUGGCGAUGAAGGAACCUCACAAAAGUGUGGAGCAGUUAAGGGGACUGAGGAGGACAUCGAGUUCGGUGGAUGAGAGUUCUUGGAAGAUUGAAGUAUCUGAUGACAUAGAAGCAGAUAGUCGUCAAUCAGUCGAACCAAUACCAGAGAUGCGAAUCAAUCCAUCUAUUCUCAGUAGUCUUUGGAAAAGUGUUGAAUCCUCGAGGCUUAGGUUGUUCAGGAAUAGCUCCAAGAAAUUAAAAUCCGAAGAGCAGGUUCAAUUCAGACAUGGGUUCUUAAAUUACAUGGACAUGACGAGGAUUGCUUGUCUAGCUCAGCGAAUUAGCAGGUUAACCGAAAGAAGUAGGGGUUGUUUUAAAGCUACUAGUUCUCAGCAACUUGCAGCGAGGAUAGAAGUCGUCCAAAGACAAAUACCGGGAAGUCAAUACCAAAUGCAGUUCGGUCCGUCACUAAGGCUCGCUUUCUUGCUACUGUUAAGUAUAAUAUUGAUCGGUGAGUUGUUCUUCAAAAUAGCUAGAACAUGAGCUAUUAGCCAUGUUCUUACUAAUUGUUGCUUAUAUUCCUACAUUGUUGUCAUCUAUCGUCCCUAAUGAUUUGAACUCUAUGCGAGGUUUAUCACCAAAUUUGCUUCUUAGUGAGUUAGUCUUCAUGAUCACGAUAACUGUUAAUGCCUCCUAUGCUAUAUGAUGAGAUUGAGAAGCUAUUAGUCAUAUUCUUACUGAUCCUUGCUUGCAUUCAUGUCGUUCUCCCAACUAUUUGAUGUCGGGCUACAUGAAUCUUGAACCCUAUGCAAGGCUUUGUUUGGUGUCGGCUACAUCGAUCCAAAUUUUUCUUCUGAUGGAACUCGCUAUAAAUUUUUACAAGCUUACUAAACAAUGCUUCAUUUGCUUGCAGUGCCAUUUGUUUUGUACUCUACAUGAAGGCUCCGAAAUUUCUGCUGGAAGAAGGGUACUGCUGCAAAUUGAUACGAACAAGCUAUAGGAGUUUGCAUCUCGACGCACAACAGUCUAUUGUUAUAUUCUUUGUAUUUAAUCCAAUUUGUUAAAACUUCAUCAGCAGUGUAUCAAAGUAAAUGCAUUGUGAAUUUGAAAUUAGGGUUCAAAAUGUUGAUGUUUCAUUGUUGCAAAUCAAAA